GCCCGAAUGGCGUAAUUGGUAGCCGCGUUGGACUCAAAAUCCAAUGGUAGUGAUAUCGUGCCGGUUCGAGUCCGGCUUCGGGCACCA
RNAcentral lists this transfer RNA (87 nucleotides) under Candidatus Enterosoma merdigallinarum. Its description in RNAcentral is "tRNA-Leu". It matches the Rfam family "tRNA". From Rfam's summary of the family: Transfer RNA (tRNA) molecules are approximately 80 nucleotides in length. Their secondary structure includes four short double-helical elements and three loops (D, anti-codon, and T loops). Lineage: Bacteria; Bacillati; Bacillota; Bacilli; Caryophanales. The record is from RNAcentral.